RNAcentral lists this ribosomal RNA (404 nucleotides) under uncultured bacterium. RNAcentral describes it as "partial 16S ribosomal RNA". It matches the Rfam family "Bacterial small subunit ribosomal RNA", at positions 28 to 526 of the family's 1533-position model. The record is from RNAcentral.
GACGAACGCUGGCGGCGUGCUUAACACAUGCAAGUCGAGCGGAGCGGCGGACGGGUGAGUAACGCGGGAGUAACUGCCCCCCUCCCUGGGGUAACAGUUGGAAACGGCUGCCAAUACCGGAUAGUGUGGGAUGACUCGCGUCCUAUCAGCUUGGUGGUGGGGUAGUGGCCUACCAAGGCGACGACGGGUAGCCGGCCUGGGAGGGCGACCGGCCUCAUUGGGCUGAGAUACGGCCCAAACGCCUACGGGAGGCAGCGGGGGGGAAUAUUGCACAGUGGGGGAAACCCUGAUGCAGCAACGCGCGGGCGGGAUGACGGCCUUGGGGUUGUAAACCGCGUUCAGCCAAGACGCGGUAGUGGCAGAAGAAGCACCGGCUAACUACGUGCCAGCAGCCGCGGUAAUAC